This 909-nucleotide long non-coding RNA is filed under the name Marmota monax (woodchuck). Lineage: Eukaryota; Metazoa; Chordata; Mammalia; Rodentia; Sciuridae. The record is from RNAcentral.
UCCCUUUUUGCCUUGAAUGUGGGUGUGAUGUUUGAGGUGUGGCAGCCAUUCUGAGACUAGGAACAAUUACUAUAUACUGGAAAUCAUGCCUAGGAAAUCCUCAUUGCAGCCUAAAAAGAGGAGCCAUUAUCCACCCAAUUUUAUAGAUGAGGAGGACACUGAGGAUCAAACAAUAGAUGAGCACACAUACAUUAGAUAGUAGACAUGGAAUUGGAAUCCAGGUCUGGCAAGUUCCAGACUCAGCACUCUUAACCGUGAGCUCUAUAAUAAAAGCUGGGACAAUGGAGGGCCAAAAGUUCUCCUAGCUUCCUAACAUCCACUUUCUAUCUAUAUUGGAAUGCUGCUCAGUUACUUUCUUUUGCUCUCUGAGAACAGGUGGGCAGAAUGUUGAGAGUGUGAGGACCGAGUGUGGGGAGACCCCCUAUGAGGUUGAUACUUAAUCACUUGUCUGUUUAACUCCAACUCAGGGUGCAAAUGUGGCCCAAGGUGUGUUGUUUUAAUAAUAAAUCAGAGGUGAGUGCUCACAAUUUCUUAAUUAUGUAUAUUUAUCUCAGGAAAAGUUUAAGGACCCCAGCAGGUGCCUGCUCUCUGGGCCUCAUUACUGUUGACAAAGCUGGGAUUUAUGUGUUCAAAGCAGCGUGUGGCAAAACGUGUGCAUGGGUUGGGAGGCUGCUCAUGUUUCCCCUUGCUAUUAAAAUGUCACCUCAGGGUAAAUAAUAUGUGUUAAUACACCAGACAAAUCUCCCAGGCUUAUUUCUUUUACCUAGUCUGAAAAUAAUUUAACAGCUUGUAACAACUUCAUGACUAACUGUAGUGAGUUAUUUAGCCUUUCUAAAAAAAAAAAGUGUGACAUAUUUUCUCACCACCAUUAUUCCAUCUCAUUUAAUGUGAUUAUGAAGCCCACAGAUU